CAUAGUCUUCAUGAGGUUGAACG
RNAcentral lists this microRNA (23 nucleotides) under Pristionchus pacificus. RNAcentral describes it as "ppc-miR-8229b-5p". Lineage: Eukaryota; Metazoa; Nematoda; Chromadorea; Rhabditida; Neodiplogasteridae. The record is from miRBase by way of RNAcentral.